RNAcentral lists this RNase P RNA (470 nucleotides) under Planktothrix mougeotii LEGE 06226. Its description in RNAcentral is "RNase P RNA component class A". It matches the Rfam family "Bacterial RNase P class A". From Rfam's summary of the family: Ribonuclease P (RNase P) is a ubiquitous endoribonuclease, found in archaea, bacteria and eukarya as well as chloroplasts and mitochondria. Its best characterised activity is the generation of mature 5'-ends of tRNAs by cleaving the 5'-leader elements of precursor-tRNAs. Cellular RNase Ps are ribonucleoproteins. The record is from RNAcentral. Lineage: Bacteria; Bacillati; Cyanobacteriota; Cyanophyceae; Oscillatoriales; Microcoleaceae.
AGAGUAAGCGCAGGCGAUUACGGACUUGUUAAAAGUCUGAGGAAAGUCCGGGCUCCCGAAAGACCAAACUUGCUGGGUAACGCCCAGUGCGAGUAAUCGUGAGGAUAGUGCCACAGAAAAAUACCGCCUUUUCAGUCAACUGUGAACAGUGAACAGCGAGACAAAAGAAGAAAUUUAUAACUGAUAACUGGUAGAGACGCGCCAUGGCGCGUCUCUACACUGAUAACUGAUAACUGAAAAGGUAAGGGUGCAAAGGUGUGGUAAGAGCGCACCAGCAACGUCGUGAGGCGUUGGCUCGGUAAACCCCGGUUGGGAGCAAGGUCGGAGGAACUAAGGUUGGUCUUUUUCCCGUUCCGCUCAAAAGUGGUACCGCUAGAGGUGUUUGGUAACAGACAUCCCAGAUAGAUAAUCGCCAUCCAAAGCUGAUUUCAGCCUGGAUAACAGAACCCGGCUUAUGUCUGACUCUUUCC